Molecule: ribosomal RNA, 505 nt
Filed under: uncultured bacterium
Lineage: Bacteria
Description: partial 16S ribosomal RNA
Rfam family: Bacterial small subunit ribosomal RNA
Source: RNAcentral
GACGAACGCUGGCGGCGUGCCUAAUACAUGCAAGUAGAACGCACAGUUUAUACCGUAGCUUGCUACACCAUAGACUGUGAGUUGCGAACGGGUGAGUAACGCGUAGGUAGCCUGCCUGGUAGCGGGUGAUAACUAUUGGAAACGAUAGCUAAUACCGCAUAAUAUUGAUUAUUGCAUGCUAAUUGAUUGAAAGAUGCUAUUGCAUCACUACCAGAUGUACCUGCGUUGUAUUAGCUAGUAGGUGAGGUAACGGCUCACCUAGGCGACGAUACAUAGCCGACCUGCGAGGGUGAUCGGCCAAGCUGGGACGGAGACACGGCCCAGACUCCUACGGGAGGCAGCAGUAGGGGAUCUUCGGCAAUGGACGAAAGUCUGACCGAGCAACGCCGCGUGAGUGAAGAAGGUUUUCGGAUCGUAAAGCUCUGUUGUAAGAGAAGAACGGGUGUGAGAGUGGAAAGUUCACACUGUGACGGUAUCUUACCAGAAAGGGACGGCUAACUACGUG